UGGGGAAUAUUGCACAAUGGGGGAAACCCUGAUGCAGCGACGCCGCGUGAGCGAAGAAGGCUUUCGAGUCGUAAAGCUCUGUCCUAUGAGAAGAUAAUGACGGUAUCAUAGGAGGAAGCCCUGGCUAAAUACGUGCCAGCAGCCGCGGUAAUACGUAUGGGGCGAGCGUUGUCCGGAAUUAUUGGGCGUAAAGGGUACGUAGGUGGUUUUUUAAGUCUGGUGUCAAAGCGUGGAGCUUAACUCCAUUAAGCACUUGAAACUGAAAGACUUGAGUGAAGGAGAGGAAAGUGGAAUUCCUAGUGUAGCGGUGAAAUGCGUAGAUAUUAGGAGGAAUACCGGUGGCGAAGGCGACUUUUUGGCCUGCAACUGACACUGAGGCGCGAAAGCGUGGGGAGCAAACAGG
RNAcentral lists this ribosomal RNA (403 nucleotides) under Verrucomicrobiota bacterium. RNAcentral's name for it is "Verrucomicrobia bacterium partial 16S ribosomal RNA". It matches the Rfam family "Bacterial small subunit ribosomal RNA", at positions 355 to 776 of the family's 1533-position model. The record is from RNAcentral. Lineage: Bacteria; Pseudomonadati; Verrucomicrobiota.